GACGAACGCUGGCGGCGUGCUUAACACAUGCAAGUCGAACGGAAAGGCCUGCUUUCCCUUGUGGAUUGCGGGUACUCGAGUGGCGAACGGGUGAGUAACACGUGAGUGAUCUGCCCCCAACUUGGGUAUAAGCCUGGGAAACUGGGUCUAAUUCCCGAUAGGACUGCAGGGUGGUGCCUGUGGUGGAAAACGAUUUUCUAGUGGUUGGGGAUGAGCUCGCGGCCUAUCAGCUUGUUGGUGGGGUAAUGGCCUACCAAGGCGGCGACGGGUAGCCGGCCUGAGAGGGUGGACGGCCACAUUGGGACUGAGAUACGGCCCAGACUCCUACGGGAGGCAGCAGUGGGGAAUAUUGCACAAUGGGCGGAAGCCUGAUGCAGCGACGCCGCGGGGGGGAUGACGGCCUUCGGGUUGUAAACUCCUUUCGACCGCGAGGAAGCCACCUGGUUGGAAGGGUGGUGACGGUAGUGGUAGAAGAAGCGCCGGCUAACUACGUG
This 494-nucleotide ribosomal RNA is filed under the name uncultured bacterium. Its description in RNAcentral is "partial 16S ribosomal RNA". It matches the Rfam family "Bacterial small subunit ribosomal RNA", at positions 28 to 507 of the family's 1533-position model. The record is from RNAcentral.